GUGUGCUAUGCAGGAUAGGGUGGUCUCUUGUUUCAUUGACAUUUGCUCAAGCCAAUCGUGCUUUCCUUCUUCCCGUCACAGGCAAGAAGGAAAAACCCAGAAAGUCCGAUAUCCAAAAUGCUGUGGAAUAUUUGAGAUCGACCAAAGGAUCUUUUCACCGAUUAUCAUCAUCAUCCAUUUGGAGAUCUGGGAUCAGAUAAGGGUCAUAAAGUGAGCUUUACACAUGCCAUGUCACAUUUUCCAUGGGGUCAGUGUGUGGGGGGAAGUCGACUCAGCACAUGAAGUCAGUCAAAGACCCAAACAGACAGUUCUCUCCAUCCUUCUCCACUUUCAUGGAUGACGUGGCUGCAGACACCAGUUUUCUUGACCUUCCUGCACUGAGUGACACACACCUCCAGUAGGAGGAAGAAGAAAAAAACACGGUAAUGACACGUGUGGCGAGCCAAAGA
Danio aesculapii is the source of this 449-nucleotide long non-coding RNA. RefSeq lists it as uncharacterized. The transcript is spliced from 3 exons. NCBI's taxonomy places the organism in Eukaryota, Metazoa, Chordata, Actinopteri, Cypriniformes, Danionidae. The record is from RefSeq and is a predicted model, not a curated record.